Molecule: ribosomal RNA, 481 nt
Filed under: uncultured bacterium
Lineage: Bacteria
Description: partial 16S ribosomal RNA
Rfam family: Bacterial small subunit ribosomal RNA
Source: RNAcentral
GAUGAACGCUGGCGGCGUGCUUAACACAUGCAAGUCGAACGAAGCACUUUAUUUGAUUUCCUUCGGGACUGAUUAUUUUGUGACUGAGUGGCGGACGGGUGAGUAACGCGUGGGUAAACUGCCUUGUACAGGGGGAUAACAGUUGGAAACGGCUGCUAAUACCGCAUAAGCGCACAGCAUCGCAUGAUGCAGUGUGAAAAACUCCGGUGGUAUAAGAUGGACCCGCGUUGGAUUAGCUAGUUGGUGAGGUAACGGCCCACCAAGGCGACGAUCCAUAGCCGACCUGGGAGGGUGACCGGCCACAUUGGGACUGAGACACGGCCCAAACUCCUACGGGAGGCAGCAGUGGGGAAUAUUGCACAAUGGGCGAAAGCCUGAUGCAGCGACGCCGCGUGAGCGAAGAAGUAUUUCGGUAUGUAAAGCUCUAUCAGCAGGGAAGAUAAUGACGGUACCUGACUAAGAAGCACCGGCUAAAUACGUG